Molecule: ribosomal RNA, 460 nt
Filed under: uncultured bacterium
Lineage: Bacteria
Description: partial 16S ribosomal RNA
Rfam family: Bacterial small subunit ribosomal RNA
Source: RNAcentral
CCUACGUGUGGCAGCAGUGAGGAAUAUUGGUCAAUGGGCGGGAGCCUGAACCAGCCAAGUCGCGUGAGGGAAGACGGUCCUAUGGAUUGUAAACCUCUUUAGGCGGGGAGCAAUGCCGGGCACGCGUGCCCGGAGGGAGAGUACCCGCAGAAUAAGCAUCGGCUAACUCCGUGCCAGCACCCGCUGUAAUACGGGGGAUGCGAGCAUUAUCCGGAUUUAUUGGGUUUAAGGGGUGCGUAGGCGGAUUUGUAAGUCCGCGGGAAAAUGUACGGGCUCAACCCGGGCCGGCCGUUGAAACUGGGGAUCUUGAGUGGGCGAGAAGUAUGCGGAAGGCGUGGUGUAGCGGUGAAAUGCAUAGAUAGCACGCAGAACUCCGAUUGCGAAGGCAGCAUACCGGCGCCCGACUGACGCUGAGGCACGAAAGCGUGGGGAUCGAACAGGAUUAGAUACCCGUGUAGUC